UGACCUCCUGGUUCCGUUUUCCGGCUUUUAUUGGCGUUUUGCAACAUUCGGCUUUUGAUUCGUGUGUCUGGUUUAGUACCGAUGGGGAUUCGGCUUUUGAUUCGUGUCUGAUUCGUGUGUUGGUGUUGGAUUCGUGUGUGUGAUGAAGAUGGAGCAGUGGAGAUACACAAUCCUGGGGAACUAACCUCAUGAAAGAAUGAAACUGGUUUCAAGUAGCAUUGGUUAUUGUUCAGGUAAUUUGUGCUUCAAAAUUGUUUCUAUCUUAUUUUUUUUUUCAAUUAUUUAACGAUCUUAGAGUUGUUUAUUGCAGAUCUGAAGGGGGAAGGUAAUCACUAUAUGGAUUUACAGG
RNAcentral lists this long non-coding RNA (349 nucleotides) under Helianthus annuus (common sunflower). RNAcentral's name for it is "hypothetical non coding rna". Lineage: Eukaryota; Viridiplantae; Streptophyta; Magnoliopsida; Asterales; Asteraceae. The record is from RNAcentral.